AGGGGUGAAUAAAAUGCUCAUUUUGAUAGGCUUUCUGAAAAAGCUCCGUUCCCCAACAGCUUUAUCCACAGACCAGCAGAAGACAUUUAGAAGCACCUCUCUGUGCCCUGGGAGGAAUCUUGAAUUCUCUCCCAGAUGAGAUGUUCUUAUGCAAUAAAUCCAGGAUCAUAUCCAAAAAUAAUAAACAUCCAAAACUCCAGAGGAAAUAACUAUCAGCUUAGCUGUACAGUACAGGAAAGGCACAACAUCGCCCUUGGACUGCUGUUUCUUCAAACAUUAAGAGACCAAAACGUAUCCCUUUCCAACUCAACUGGCAUUUGCGAGAGGGAGGAAUAAUAUCACAAACUUCAGUUGCACCCGGGGCAAGUUUGCUAAAGUAUUUAGCGUCCCACGCCCCACUCCACGGAAAAUACUGCCAUUGCUUCUGAAACCAAACACAGCAACCCACUCCCAGUUAAUUAAAGCAGCUCGUUUGUUUUUUAAAAGGGAAAUAACCGAAGGGGGCUUGGAAUGAACAUUUCUAGUUUUCUAAUCUUUUUUUUUUUUUCCCUGGUUUUCUGCGAGAAAGAAUUGCUGGAAAAUGCGCGGCGGCGACGGCAGCAGCAGCCCGCUUCGAAUCCCGUCGCUCCCGAAACGCGGCGAGGGAUGGGCAAUUGGAAGCCACAGGGCCACGGGAGAUCAUCAAGCCUUCUUCUGCAGCCCUCUAUCUUUGCCUGUGGAAAGAUGGAUUAUGGACUGGCAUAAAGGCGCAGCCAUGAAAGCGUCAUUGAAUGAUAUUGACAAAAUCAUUUGUUGUUUUUAGAGCCCACAGAGGUUUUGCUGUUUGGGGGCGGAGGGCUUUUCAAGGCUGUAACCGUGUUGUCGCAAGCCCUCCCAGCUGUUCAGAACUAAGAUUUAUGCAACAAAAACAAAACUCAUUGACUAUUCAAGCACUUCCCAUCCUCCUGGAGAGUUUCUGUCACCCACACGUUGCAACAAGAGUGAGCAAAAAGUGAUGGGCUUGGUGUGUGACUCACUUCAGUGGGUUAAAGAAGGCAGCAAAGGAUUCCAACCAGCAUGUUAGAACAAGCUGGGGAAAAAAGGAAGGCCCAAAUAGAGAGAGAAACAACAACAAAAAAAAAAUUGCCUCUCCCUUUCUAUUUUUUUUUUCUUGUCUACCCUUGGGAGUCAAUAUUCUGUAAGGAGCAGGGAGAAAGCUUCAGCUGAAGACAAAUUCUAAAAAUAACAUUUCCCUCUAAUGCUGUCAUUUGUUUAUACCUCUAAAAUCUCUUUUUUUCCUAGCUCUGUGUCUUAAGGCAUAGAUUCUCAGACUUUGUAGUACAAUGAUCUCCUCAGUGAAACUGGGAGAGAAAUAUGCAGUGGGGUGCCCCAGGGCUCAGUUCUGGGCCCAGUGCUCUUCAACAUCUUCAUCAAUGAUUUGGAUGACAGGAUAGAUGGGGAACUCAGCAAAUUUGCAGAUGACACCAAACUGGCAGGAUUAGCCAACACUCGCUCCAGAAGAUAGGCUUAAGAUACAGGAGGACCUGGACAGACUUGAACAUCGGUACUAUCUACCAAAAUGAAAGUCAGUGGCGAAAAAAGAUAGUGUUCUGCAUUUAGGCAAGAAAAAUCAAAUGCACAGGUAUAGUAUAGGUGGUACCUUGCUCAAUAGUAGCAACUGUGAGAGGGAUCUUGGAAUCACAAUAUGAGCCAGCAGUAUGCAGCAGCUGCCAAA
Long non-coding RNA from Crotalus tigris (Tiger rattlesnake), 1714 nucleotides. RefSeq lists it as uncharacterized. The record is from RefSeq and is a predicted model, not a curated record. The transcript is spliced from 3 exons. NCBI's taxonomy places the organism in Eukaryota, Metazoa, Chordata, Lepidosauria, Squamata, Viperidae.